UGGUCUUAGCUUGCUAAGGCCGAUGGCGACCGGCGCACGGGUGAGUAACACGUAUGCAAUCCACCUGUAACAGGGGGAUAACCCGGAGAAAUCCGGACUAAUACCCCAUAAUAUGGGCUCUCCGCAUGGAGGGCUCAUUAAAGAGAGCAAUUUUGGUUACAGACGAGCAUGCGCUCCAUUAGCCAGUUGGCGGGGUAACGGCCCACCAAGGCGACGAUCGGUAGCCGGACUGAGAGGUUGAACGGCCACAUUGGGACUGAGACACGGCCCAGACUCC
RNAcentral lists this ribosomal RNA (277 nucleotides) under uncultured bacterium. RNAcentral's name for it is "partial 16S ribosomal RNA". It matches the Rfam family "Bacterial small subunit ribosomal RNA", at positions 70 to 339 of the family's 1533-position model. The record is from RNAcentral.